GCGGAAGUGGCGGAAUUGGUAUACGCGCAUGCUUGAGGGGCAUGUCCGCAAGGGUGGGGGUUCGAGUCCCCCCUUCCGCACCA
Molecule: transfer RNA, 83 nt
Filed under: Pseudomonadota bacterium
Lineage: Bacteria; Pseudomonadati; Pseudomonadota
Also listed under: 1 other name
Description: tRNA-Leu
Rfam family: tRNA
About the family: Transfer RNA (tRNA) molecules are approximately 80 nucleotides in length. Their secondary structure includes four short double-helical elements and three loops (D, anti-codon, and T loops).
Source: RNAcentral